UAAGGGGUUAAUACAUAGUUUGUAUUUGAAUAGUUAGAUUAACGUGUUAGUAAUCCAAUUGUAGGCGGUUCGUGUGUGGAUCUCGUCAGCAUAUCGUCGCAAACAGGAAAUCCCCAACCAUAGUGGGCUUGGAGCUGUGAGGGAAUUCAGAGUGGUCACCCGUUCUGAAAGUUUGAUUUUCUUCUGGUGAACUGGACAUCCUUUUAUUUACGUUGAAGUUUUGGGUUUUUAAAUGUAAUAAGGCCGCUUAAUUAUUUUUUAUGGUUUUAAUAUGUAUUACUAAGAUAGGUAUUACUUA
Molecule: long non-coding RNA, 298 nt
Organism: Gossypium arboreum
Lineage: Eukaryota; Viridiplantae; Streptophyta; Magnoliopsida; Malvales; Malvaceae
Exons: 2
Source: RefSeq, a predicted model, not a curated record